UACGUAGGUGGCAAGCGUUGUCCGGAUUUACUGGGCGUAAAGAGCGCGCAGGCGGUCGUUCAAGUCGCGUGUGAAAGCCCCCGGCUCAACUGGGGAGGGUCAUUCGAUACUGGUCGACUCGAAGGCAGGAGAGGGAAGCGGAAUUCCCGGUGUAGUGGUGAAAUGCGUAGAUAUCGGGAGGAACACCAGUGGCGAAGGCGGCUUCCUGGCCUGUUCUUGACGCUGAGGCGCGAAAGCUAGGGGAGCAAACGGG
This 253-nucleotide ribosomal RNA is filed under the name uncultured bacterium. RNAcentral describes it as "partial 16S ribosomal RNA". It matches the Rfam family "Bacterial small subunit ribosomal RNA", at positions 524 to 776 of the family's 1533-position model. The record is from RNAcentral.